CUGCGGCUUCAUUCUUGAAGUCGGUGAGACCAAGAACCCACCAAUUCCGGACACAACUUCACUCCUGCCUGGGUAACAAAGGACUUUCCUGUCUUUAGACAGUUUCACAAAGUGGUGGAUGUAAGGGUCGUGCCAGCAGCCCAUCCUUACUGCAAGCCUGGAAGGGAGGAAAAAAGAGGAAGGUGCUGUCCUCUUACUCCCCUUACAGAGGUCAGAGUGGGGAAACCAGGAACGAAUGAACAAUACGUGUACAACUUGGGAAAUGCCAUGGGAGCCUUAAUUGCUCUAUUCUGGUCUACAGUGCAAGGAGUUAAGGCUUCGUGUUUCAAGGCUGGGAGCUGAAACCCUGAUUAGCACAGGAAGCCUUGUUGCAACCAUGAGUAGAACCAGCUUUAGGACGACUGAGGAGUCAUGAAAAGAACCUGGAUCCCGAAGGCCAUGCUCAGCUGCUCUGGGCCUGUGGACUGCUCUAGCUCUGAACGUAUAUUUU
Pan troglodytes (chimpanzee) is the source of this 490-nucleotide long non-coding RNA. RefSeq lists it as uncharacterized. The transcript has 3 exons. NCBI's taxonomy places the organism in Eukaryota, Metazoa, Chordata, Mammalia, Primates, Hominidae. The record is from RefSeq and is a predicted model, not a curated record.